UUGUGGUUAACUUUUAACCGCUGCUUUGAAAUUGAAUUUUCCGUCGCAAUUCGCUAUUUUGAUUUGAAGGCGGUUUUCAUUUAUUUAUUAUCUAAUUAUAGUGCUUUAUUGUGUGUGAAUGUUUUUGUAAACAGUAUAUUAUAAAAGCAAUCAUUUAGUGUUUACCAGUUUAAACGUGUAAUUGUUUUUUUCGUAUAGUUUGAUUUAUUUGAUAAUAUAAUGGUUUAUAAGUGCUCUGUUCCCGGGUGCAGUACUCGAGGCCGAGGUAUUAAAUAUUAUAGUGUGCCGUUCACAAAUAAAAAAAGGUGGGAAGAGUGGUUAAGUUUAUGUCCAUUCCUACAAAAUUAUCCUCCUACUCAACGCGAAAACAUUCGUUUUUGUCAUAAACAUUUUAUUCCCGAACAUAUAAAACAGAAUCUAAGAUUAACACCUAAUGCGAUUCCUUUAGUAAACUUAGGAAAUACAGAUAAAUAUAAAGUUACAAACCGAGAUUUGAUAUUAGAAAUUGAACCCACUAGUAGCAUUACUGAACCCUUUAUUUUUAAAGUAGUUAACCCUUCUGAACUUAAUCGACCCACUAUAGAGCAAAAUUGUUCUAUCAUACAAGAACAUCAAAGUUCUGAGCUGUCUAGCACGGUAUCAAUUCAUGCUUCAUUGAAUGAAGCAAAUAGUAGUACUCCAACUCAAUUUACUCCCAAUAUACCUCACAAUACGCAAUACCCAAUAUGUAUAACCCCUUCCACAUCAACCACCAUUGCUGUGUGUAAUGAGCACAAAUUAAAAGUCACAGCCUAGUUAAACGUAGAUUAACUAAUCGUAUUAGAUUAAAUCCCAAUGAAUGUACCCCUCGUAAACGAAUUUUACGCUCUUCAAUUCACAUUUUAAAGAAUAAAUUACGUCUCUUGCAAUCAAGGUAUAAAAAGUUAAAGACUAGAUUUGACCUUCAUGCACCAAAAACAAAGGUGUUCUUGAAAAAUAUAACAUUUUGAGUACAUAUGGGAAAUUAUUAGUAGAUUCACAAUUACGUUUGACUGGUAAUUCAUUAAAAGGUCGCCGUUACACAGACUCAGAAAAAGUUUUUGCUUUAUCAUUAUAUAAGUUAAGCCCUAAGUGCUAUAGAUUUUUACGAAAACAUUUAGCAUUACCAUGUAAAUCCCGAAUUAAUUCUCUACUCAGCAAUAUUCCUUUGAGGCCUGGUAUUAAUGACUUUAUAUUUCAACAUUUGGCAGAUGCUGCCUUGGAUAAACCCGCAAUAGACAGGCAAUGCACAUUAAUGUUUGAUGAAAUGUCCAUUAAAAAACACUUAAAUUUUAAUUUCUUUACUGGGGUCAUUGAAGGUUUUGAAGAUAUAGGUUCUGGCAAACGCACAAACAAUGUGGCUGAUAAAGCUUUAGUUUUUAUGUUACGGGUUUGUUUUCUCCUUGGAAAAUUCCAAUUGCAUUUUAUUUUGCUCGAGAUGGGGUUAAAACAUUUGUUUUAAAAAAUAUUAUUAAAGAAAUAGUAUUAGCAGUUUUUAAAUCUGGAUUCAUAGUAAGAGCUACAAUCAGUGACCAAGGUUCUGCCAAUGUUGCUGCUAUUAAGUCAUUAAUAUCAGAUUCUAAUGCUGAACUCCUACGUAGUAACAAAUAUACCAAUGACAUCUGUUAUAAAAUCGGCCCAAACCAACUGUACCAUAUCUAUGAUGUACCUCAUUUAUUGAAAUGUUUUCGCAAUAAUUUUCAGAAAAAACCUACUCAUUGGCAACCAAAGGGCAAAGUGGGAGUAUAUUGAGAGACUUUAUAAAGUGGAUGGUUUUGGUGGCAGAGCAAGAAGCACCAAACUUACUGAGAAGCACAUAAAUCCAACUUCAUAUGACAAAAUGAAGGUCAAAUUUGCAGCCCAAGUUUUUAGCCGGCAAGUGGCUACAUCACUAGAAAUCCAGAUGAAGUCUCUGCUAUCUCCAGGAUCAUGAUUACAUAAGUUUAAAUGAAGACAUUGGAAAUGGUUUGUUCACAGCAGAAAUUCUUCUUUUUAUAAAUAAUUUGUUUGAUAGUUUAAAUGGUUUUGGUCAUUAUGGGAAUAAGUUAAAACAUGCUCUUUCAUAUAAUUCGGAGCACAUUGCAUUCUGGAAUGAUGCUGUGAAAAAGCUAGCUUCAAUGCGCUUUGACGCUUCCAAUGAAAGGGAAAGGAAGCCUUUAUCACUGAAGCAUUUUGAACAUAAUAUAAAAACAAUAAAACAUUUGUGGUCAGAUCUGCUGAGAAUUGAUGGUGUUAAAUUUUUAAGUCUUAGACGUCUUAAUCAAGAUCCGAUAGAAAACUUUUUUGGUCAAAUAAGGGCACAUGGUAAUUUUAGUACAAAUCCUAAUUGUACUCAUUUUGUAUCGGCUUUUAAAACCUUGUUGAUUAACAACAUUACUACCGGUAAAUCUUUAUACACUAAUUGUUCUGAUGAUGAUGACAAAAUGUUGGGAACAUUAAAACAUUUAGUCAGCCACCAAAAAUAUGGUUCAUACACUGAUAGUCUUCAAUGUAAUGAAACUAACUUUAUAGAAAUUUCUAUACCUAACGAGAAUAUAUUCCAACAUAAGUCUGUACCAUAUAUUGCUGGUGCAGUUUGUCGUUUUUUGAUGUCCAA
Manduca sexta (tobacco hornworm) is the source of this 2614-nucleotide long non-coding RNA. RefSeq lists it as uncharacterized. The transcript has 2 exons. The record is from RefSeq and is a predicted model, not a curated record. Lineage: Eukaryota; Metazoa; Arthropoda; Insecta; Lepidoptera; Sphingidae.